Molecule: RNA transcript, 4931 nt
Organism: Pyrus x bretschneideri (Chinese white pear)
Lineage: Eukaryota; Viridiplantae; Streptophyta; Magnoliopsida; Rosales; Rosaceae
Exons: 11
Source: RefSeq, a predicted model, not a curated record
AAAUCGAAACCAAACCAGCCCCAAUAAAACUAGGCGAAGCAGUGAGUUUCCCGUUUGCUUGGACCAUUAUCCUUUUCUAUUUUGCUAUUUUCUCAUUUUAUAAGCCCGGUAUGAUCGUGAACGACGGCGAGGGCGCCACCCUCGUGACCACAAGGAAGUGAAGGACGAGGAAGAAUUCGAAAAGCUCGGGUCGAUCCUGACCAGUCUUCCACCGAUAACCAGAGUUGCAGAUGGUUCUGACCAUCAUUAGAGAUGGCUUGAAGAUCGACUGCAAGAGUUGGACAUAGGAACAUCAUGAAGGACAAAGAGCAGAACCCAGCAGGGCUUGCUCAACUCAUAAUUGUGGGUCAGCAAGAUGAUCGGGCAGAGCCCGCUAAGGAAAGUUGUACACUGCCAGUGUUUGUGAAUUCCGAACCAAUGAGGGAGGAACAAGUGCAAAAUGCUGUGAAAUUCCUUUCACACCCGAAAGUUAGGGGCUCUCUCUUGUUGUUUACAGACGGUCUUUUCUCGAGAAGAAGCCUCUCACAAAAGAAGAGAUUGACGAAGCGUUUCGGAGUGUGCCUGGUGAGAGCAUGCCAUUGGCUUGGCACAUGGCAGUGUAGCCACAAGUAGAAAUGUAUAUGAAGAGCUUGGUGUGGUAGAACAACCGUUGAUGCAAUAGCUAUGUUGGAAUCUUUGACACAAAUUGCAUUUCAAUGUGAUGACAAAAGAGAUGAAAGCAGAACAGAAGGGACCUAAUUAAGCAAAUUCAAGUGGUUGUCAAGCCUUGUUUAAGGUUGUUGCUAGUAUGUAACAAGGCGACUUGAAAAGCUGCAAUCUAAGACAACUAAUUCGUUGAUGUAAAUCAUAAUUUCAUGGGAUAUUGCUGCUAUGCAAUUUUAAUUUGAUGGCAGUUUACAUCUCUAAACUAAGAAAUUAAUGGGAAAAUGUCCUAUAGUGGAUGGUUGAGUAAUUUAGUGGAAAGAAAGAAUUUAGAAAAAAUAGGACGGCAGUAGUAAUGAUGGCAGAAAAAAUAUUAUUUGAUGUACGAAACCAUUACGAACUCAUGCCAAUUGCGCAUACAAUUGCAGUACAACAAGACAAAUUAAUGGUGGUGGUUUCGUGGUGGCGUAGUUCUCCGUCAAAAAUGGCGAUGGUGGUUGCCUUGCUCGUUCUGUGCAGCGAGCACAGUAUCAAGAGAGAGAGAGAGAGAGAGAGGUGAGGGAAAUCGGGAGAGUGGUAAAGAGGGAGUGAGACAUGAGGGUGGUGGCAAGGUGGUGCCUCGAGGGAGUGGCGAGUGAGGUGGUGAUGGUUUCUCGAACGGGAGAUUGAUGGUGCACUAGAGAACUUGAGUCCUCUCUCAGUUUGGUAUCUGGGGAAGAAAACCAAACAAAGCUAUGCAUUAGCAAAGUUUGAAAUGAGGGUUUUUAAUCUUUGGCAUGCUAUUGCCUUUAUUUGAUCAUUCUUUGAAUAAAAUUCCGAUGGACAAGUGAAAUAAACUGAAUGAAAACUUGGAGAAGAAGUUCUGAUUUUUAAUAUCUUCAGUCGGGGAUUAUUGUGAUGUCUUUUGACAAUCGAAAUGUGAAUGCAUUAUGUUGCUUAGAACACAAGUCAAUAUUUUUUAAAAUGGAACAAAAGUAUCUAGACUCGAGUUUUGCUAAAAUUGUUUUGUAGAUUUCAUUAUAGUUAACAAAAAAUAAACUUAUGAAAUCUCAAUUAUGAUUGUUCAUGUGCCCCUACUGAGAAAUGUUAGGUAUGAUGGAUGCUAUAGAUAGAAAAAUGUUGGCUUAAGGUUGGAUUCCAGGUAAAUAUGUGCUAUCCCGGAUGAUGGAAUUGCAUAGCAUCAUAAGUUUCUAUAUUUUCCUGAACAGAUUUACUGAAAAUGUUUUUCGAGGAUAUUCAACAAGAACUUUGAUCUUUAAAUUUUCUCAUUGUUGCAGUCUCUUAUGGUUUAGUUAAUCCUAUUAGCCUAUUGUUAGGUCAAUUAAGAGAGUGUUUUAGCCUUCUGUUAGUGUUUUGUCUUAUAUACUUUCUCAUUGUUAGAUCAGUUGUGAUUCUGUGUAGUUCAUGCUUCCAAGUGUAAAAUUGUUCAUACAAUCUCACUUUUGCAUCUAAUUAGUGAGCCAAAAAGAAAAUUUUUAACAUUUUAAAUCCUAAUUAUCUCUAUUUCAGCCAAUGCAUAUUUUUUCCACCUAAAAGUCUUUGAUGCAUGUCUUUUUUCUAAGUAUUGAAACAUACAUUGUUCGAAAUUUGUUGAGCACUUGAAACUUUACAAGUUAAGACUAGGAAUUUUAUGAUAUAUGAUAACUGUUUUCUAUGUUUGUUGUUGAUUAAGCAUGUGGGAUACAACUCGGUCUUAGACACUUAAUAAAGAUUUAUUGUUUGAAAUUAAUGGGGCACAGGUUAUUCUCAUGAUAUUGGCUGCAAAUGCUGCAGUAGGAGUGAUUACAGAAACCAACGUUGAAAAAGCUCGAGGUCCUUCAUAGAUUUUUGGAGAACUAUUGUAUAAGUUUAAACGGACCAGUAUGCAAAUCAUCCUUGCCUGAUAUAGUGGCUAAGGCACCCAAAAACGAGAGAGAUGAUCUACUGCUGAGUGAAGAAUUUAUUAGAAAUUGUGUGGAAAUGUUCUCUGUUCCAGCAAAGGGGAAUGAGACAAACUUGCGAGCUUUUUCCCUGAAGCAUCUUAAUUUAAUAGCCACUAAAGCAGGACAACAACCUUGGGCGAAGUGUCAGCAGAAGUAACUUCUAUCGAAUAUGCAGUGCUUUUAAAUAUGGAGCUCGCAAGCUUGGUUAGAUUCUUUCAUUCAGAAGAAAAUUGUGGGUGACGUUGAUCUUUGCAGUUUACACUCAGUGUCCAUAGCACAAGCAAAAAGUGACAAGAAAAUUGCUGCGGUGCUAAGCUAGCAUACAACAUCUUUAUUGUCGUAGAUGAACGCCAAACCAAUUCUCUUAACUAGCAGGAAAUGAAACAAAAAUAGCUAAUUCAGCACCAAAGUUACACCUUCAACAAAUACGUUUUAAAGAAAUGAAGGUACAAACAUUGAAAGGCAUGUAAAAUUAAUUAACGCUUUAUUAACUUUAUUUUACUCAUGUUUUACAUUUAAUUACAAUUUUUACUAAGCUCUCUCUUCGAAGGAAUUAGCUAUCACUAAUAUAUAUCCAAACUAUCUUCUUUUCACAUGAUCUAAAUACAUGACAGAUUAUUUGCUUGCACACUGAAAGGUUAGAUCGAACAUCCAAGAGUAUAAUACUAGACGUUUCCACUAGAGAUAUACCCGCUUCACAUAUUUUAAUCUAAUAUAUUUUUUCACAGAUAUAGAAAAUACGGAGAGUAUAUCUUUAGUGAAAGCAUGCCUAUUUAUACUUUCGAACAUUUGUCUUCAACGUAUCAAUGAACAAACAGAUACUUGGCCAUGCAUUCAGAAUAUAUUAGAAGAAGAAAGUGUGUAAAUUGGUAACAACUAAUUCAUCCGAAGCGAAGACGGAAAUGAUGAUUUUUUCUCCGAUAAUGAAAAUUGAGAUUACCAAUCUUGAUAAAUCUGAUCCGUCUUAAAAUUAUAUUGUUAGCAAAUUCGCUGCUAUUUCACGAUAAUAUGAUUUGCAUAACUUUUCUCACUCUUAUAUAACGCUAUCACUAAAUACAUUUUAUUCGAUGAGACACCAAUUUCCAUCUUUGUUGUAUUAAAUUACAACAAACUUAGCUUUUCUGGUAUUGAUCAAACUAAGACGAUCAAAAUACAUUAUCCAAAUUCUGAACCCCAGGUAUGUCUCCAAUUUCACUUACUCUUUAUUUCUCAAUACAUUUGUUUGUGUUACACAAUGUUACGUUGCUCCAAAGUUUUAUAUGUAUAAAUUAUGCUCAAUCUAUUUUAAUAAUUUUUUAGUUGUUAAUAUCUAUGUACGUUCACAUCCCACAGCAAUGCGUUGGCAUCACUUCCUAGUGAAACCUAUUUUGCACAACCACUAACAAAUUGUUUGCACCUUUACGCAAUCUCCAUUAGAAAAGCCACAAGUUUCUCAAUCAAGCAAAUUGGCAUCAUAAUAUCCAAGGGGUGCAAAUUAGCCCUCUCUUUUUUUCUUUUCUUUUUCAUUUUCUUUUUUUUCUUUUUUUUCCUUUUCUUCAUCUAAAAUACACCAAGAAGCAGGUGGAGCUAGCACCAUCGCUGUCUGUCCGAACAUCAAAUGCCUCUUUCUUUUUCUUCUGCAAAACGGCCAAAGUACCCAGAUUCUUCUUUUCUAUAAAAAGCUUGCUACAGACCAACCACCACAGAGUGUUAAUGUUUGCCAUUUUAUUUAUUACCAUUGGGUGAGUUUAAAUUUUGAGAUUUGUAUUUAUCUAAAGUAUUAAACUCAUAUAACGGUGAUAAAUAAAGUAAUGAACAUCACCAUCAUUUGAGUGUGGAGAACAAGAAUAUUCCUAUGAUAUUGUACGCAAAAGGGAAAAAUUUCCUAAUUGCAAAAGCAAAAUAGAGAGGUAAUAAUUAGAGGGUUUUUACGCUCUUAAUGGUAUUUAAUUUGCUUGGUAACGAGAAUUAUUUGGUAGUCAGUCACCUACAGCAUGCAUGCAAAUUGGAGGAGACAAUACAUGGACCAAAUUACACCACCGUAUCCUUUGGAACUUCACUUAUAGCCCCAUGUUCACUUGGAAGACAUGAAAAUUAUGAACAAAAUUGUUUUUUCUCCUAACCAUGACAAAUUUGUAACUCAAUCAAGUUUAUUUGCUUUGAUAAUUAAUAUUUUGGGUGACAAUUUUUGAUGAGAUUCAUUAAAUACUAACAAUUAGUGGACGAUAUUAAUCGGAGUGCGUAAAAGAUAGGGCAAUAAGUUAAAAGGCGAGUGACACAACUAUAAGUCACAUUAUCGUGACUUUGAGUAGAGUAGCAUAUGACACUUGCAAAAUAGUGUUCCCCAAAGUGCUCAAUGAAAUUUCUUUCCUUUUCUUCCCUGACGAA